CCUACGGGAGGCAGCAGUGAGGAAUAUUGGUCAAUGGACGAGAGUCUGAACCAGCCAAGUAGCGUGAAGGAUGACUGUCCUCUGGGUUGUAAACCUCUUUUACCAAGGACUAAAACGAGGCACGUGUGCCUUUUAGCAUGUACUUUAUGAAUACGGAUCGGCUAACUCCGUGCCAGCAGCCGCGGUUAUACGGAGGGUACGAGCGUUAUCCGGAUUUUUUGGGUUUAAAGGGAGCGUAGGUGGGUUAUUAAGUCAGUUGUGAAAGUUUGCGGCUUAACCGUAAAAUUGCAAUUGAUACUGGCAGUCUUGAGUACAGUUGAGGUAGGCGGAAUUCGUGGUGUAGCGGUGAAAUGCUUAGAUAUCACGAAGAACCCCGGUUGCGAAGGCAGCUUGCUAAACUGUGACUGACAUUGAGGCUCGAAAGUGUGGGUAGCAAACAGGAUUAGAUACCCUUGUAGUC
This 460-nucleotide ribosomal RNA is filed under the name uncultured bacterium. RNAcentral's name for it is "partial 16S ribosomal RNA". It matches the Rfam family "Bacterial small subunit ribosomal RNA", at positions 338 to 795 of the family's 1533-position model. The record is from RNAcentral.